CAAAAGUGUUUGCACCCACACCUCUAGACAAAUGCUCAUUCUGCCUCCAGAGGCCUGAUCUUAACAAGACCAGUCUAGGGGUUCAAAUAAAGGCCUGAAGAGCUGGGGAUUCAUUAUUUCCAUAGCCAGAAAUAGACCUUGGAAUUCAUGGCUCUGAAAGAAAAGUGGCACCAGUAUUGUUGCCUCCCUCAUACCCUCAAGGUCCCAGACGUGAUAGUCCUCUAGGAGCUCUGAAGAGUGGAGACCAGGGUAGAUGAUGGAUCACCGGGUAAACCAUGAAGAAUGCCGGGAUAUGGAGCAGCAGUAGUGACCACACCUACUGGGACAACCCAUCUUGUCACUGUCCUAUUAGACAAGGUCCAAGAUAGGCUGUUUGAAAGUACCUCACCUGGGAAGGCAAAUGCACCCCCAUGGACAAGAACUUCACAUGAAUUUUCAAGAUUGGCAGUGAACUUCACAGUGGAUGUGAUCUCACGGCUUAUAGCUGCUGAAGAAGAUUGACAUGAAAACAAGAAAUGUACCCAGGAUUCCAGGAUACUCAAUCCAAGAUGUAAGGGGAAGGAGAAUCCAACAAAAGGAUAUUCUCAAGUGUCCAAUUCACCUGGCCGCUGGUGCAUCUAGAAAGAAGGCUGGAAAAAGGAAGUGCUAUUGAUUGAACCUUAAGUCUCAGGACUCCUUUUAGUGCUGAUGCAGAACUUCUGUUUCAUUUUGACCUUAACUCUGAGUUUCCAUAUCCAGUUUUGCUUCUGAUUCUGGGUUGGACCCAGUGGAGGUCCC
This 777-nucleotide long non-coding RNA is filed under the name Heterocephalus glaber (naked mole-rat). Its description in RNAcentral is "lncRNA (ENSHGLG00000049881.1)". The record is from RNAcentral. Lineage: Eukaryota; Metazoa; Chordata; Mammalia; Rodentia; Bathyergidae.